This 376-nucleotide ribosomal RNA is filed under the name Alcanivorax sp. ME112. RNAcentral's name for it is "bacterial SSU rRNA". It matches the Rfam family "Bacterial small subunit ribosomal RNA", at positions 48 to 422 of the family's 1533-position model. Lineage: Bacteria; Pseudomonadati; Pseudomonadota; Gammaproteobacteria; Oceanospirillales; Alcanivoracaceae. The record is from RNAcentral.
CUAACACAUGCAAGUCGAGCGGAAACGAUCCUAGCUUGCUAGGAGGCGUCGAGCGGCGGACGGGUGAGUAACGCGUGAGAAUCUGCCCAUUUGUGGGGGAUAACUCGGGGAAACUCGAGCUAAUACCGCAUAAUCCCUACGGGGGAAAGCAGGGGACCUUCGGGCCUUGUGCAGAUGGAUGAGCUCGCGUCGGAUUAGCUUGUUGGUGAGGUAAAGGCUCACCACGGCGACGAUCCGUAGCUGGUCUGAGAGGAUGAUCAGCCACACCGGGACUGAGACACGGCCCGGACUCCUACGGGAGGCAGCAGUGGGGAAUCUUGGACAAUGGGGGCAACCCUGAUCCAGCCAUGCCGCGUGUGUGAAGAAGGCCUUCGGG